GUCCAGGGAUAGGAAUCGAACCAACAGUGUUCCGCUUACUUCAGAUGCCAUGUCCACUAGGCUACCCUGGA
This is a non-coding RNA of Cordylochernes scorpioides, 71 nucleotides long. Lineage: Eukaryota; Metazoa; Arthropoda; Arachnida; Pseudoscorpiones; Chernetidae. The record is from the annotation of a GenBank genome assembly.